CUCUGAUCCACUCAGGUGUAUAAAUAGGUACUGGUAAAAUUUCGUGUUGGAGGGCAACCCUGCGAUGGACUACUAAGCAUCCCAUCCAGGGGUUUGUAGAAAUAUUCCUAGUCGCUUCAUGCUACAGAAACCGGGAUAAUCGCUGGCCUGAUGGGCCACUUGGCUCAUACGCUGACUUUACUUCCACUUCUGAGUUGCCGCUUGCCUCUUUUUCAGAACGAGCGCUCGUGCAAAACGUUUCACAUAAAAAUGACUUGAUGUUCAUGAGAAUGAACGUACGGGUGACAUACAUUUUCAAAUGAAUAAUUUUGCACAAACACUCAUUCUGUUACAGAGGCAAAAGUCAACUUCAAAUUGGCCUAUUCAUCAACGAGCUGGCUCAGGGAGCCUUUGAUUACUACCGAAACAGGUAGACUGCGAAUUAAAAGAUACGCGUGACAGUUGAUUUUGGCGCUAAACGUCAACGACUUAGGUCACGUGGCUUUGUUUUUCAAACCAAAAACAUGAACUCACGUGACCACAUUCCAGAACUCUACGAUUAUUCGCAAUAGUUGCCCUUUUUGCUUUUCUUCCUUCUCUGGUCAGAAGUAUGUUGCAGCUAAAAGUUUUUUAUAGCAUCCCAGAAGGAGUCGACAGGUGUGAAGUCAUCUUCACCGAAAGUAUAAUACAGAAUUUUGAAGAUCUCAUGCAAGUAAUUAGAGGUAAAAUUGAGAGUUUACAGUUUAUACCUGACAUGGAACUAUGAGUACUGUACACGGAUGAUGAGAACAUGUUGGUAACCAUACGCCCAAACGACUCCUUCCACGAUGCUUGGCGUUGUGCUUCCAAAGUGCAAGGAACGACAUUUUGCCGUUUAAAGAUAAAAAUCAUGUGGCAACCUAAAUCAACACCCAAGUUCAUUUCCGCGAAGCGUCAGCAGAUGAGAGAGGGAAGCGAAACAGACAGAGAUUCAAAGAGAAAACUCAAAUCUCCACCUCGAAAACAACAGCACCGAGUUAGUACAGGCGAUUUGCCCGAAAACAAUGCACUAAAUCGUGGGCCACGAUCAAAUCAUUAUAUGUCCCCCUUAGAUCUCCUCAUAUCAGAUAAACAAGAAG
Orbicella faveolata is the source of this 1097-nucleotide long non-coding RNA. The record is from RefSeq and is a predicted model, not a curated record. NCBI's taxonomy places the organism in Eukaryota, Metazoa, Cnidaria, Anthozoa, Scleractinia, Merulinidae.